Molecule: long non-coding RNA, 1862 nt
Filed under: Gallus gallus (chicken)
Lineage: Eukaryota; Metazoa; Chordata; Aves; Galliformes; Phasianidae
Description: lncRNA (ENSGALG00010025808.1)
Source: RNAcentral
UUUAGUCUUAAUUUUAGGACCCCACAAAAGCCAGCCAGCAAUUUUCAUCCAUCCAGCGUGGAAGAGAAGACUUUCAUCCAUGAGGUGUUCAAGUGGAAGUGCGGAGCAAUGGAUGCCCCAAUGUGCAGUUGAUGCCCUCUUAACCCAAUGGAAGACGCGACACCGGGGGGCAUCCACUGCUCUUAAGAAAUAAUAGCACCAAACCCAAAAUGGGUUUGAGUUUGCACCCAUCCACCCUCUCACCCAUCCACUUCUCUUCCUCUAUCUACAGUUCUAGGAGCCCUGUGUAGCCCUCAUUAUAUAGAUACGACGUGAUACUCAUCCUGCACCACAUCCCUCUGAGGCCCUGUACCCCACAGGGCGCCUGGCAUGGAGCUGAGCUUGGGUCUCUGCGCACACCGUGGAGCAGGGAGGAGGUGACGUUAAAGCCCUCAGCCAGCUCGGCUCACGCAUGGGGCCCACCAUGGAGAGCCGGAGGAGAGCAGGAUCUAUAGGGUCAGCGAGGUGACAGCAGAGUGAAAUGUGGGGAUUUGUGGUUUGCUGAGCUCAGCUUUGUGUUUCUGGGUCAUAAAUCCCUUCUGAAGGUUCCAGGCUCCCUCUUGGGGGUGGGUUGGCUUCCUUGCCCGUUGCUUCUGGUGGCUACUGAGGGUGUGAUAGGUCCAGACGCCGCUCCUGGCUGGAUCCACAACCAGCUCAGCUCCUGAUUUCCAGGGAAAACCAUCUUCUAUUAGUAGUGGGAGUGGGCAUCCCCACCAUGCCCACUCAUUGAGUCAUGGAGCCAUUAAGGUUGGAAAAGACCUCCGAGACCAACGAUCCAACCCCAACCCAACCUCACCAUUCCCACUAACCUCGUCCCCCAGUGCCACAUCUCCCCGAUUCCUGAACACCUUCGACGUUGGCUCAAGGAAGGUACAAAUUUGCAGCAGAAAACCUCAACUCGGUCUGCCCACGCAGACAUGCCCAAACCCAGCGGCCCUCCCAGCAAAACCCCUCCCAUCCCCUUGGCUUCCCAAUGACCCCCACCAAAAUUCUGCCUUUUCAUGUGCACCAUGCGGAUGUUUUUCUCUACUUUGAGGAGUUUUCACGUCCUUCCACAAGUUCUCAGUUUUACAGAUGCCCCAAUUUCUUUUUAAAAAAGAAGAAGAAGAAGAAGAAGAAGAAGAAAAAAGAAGGGGAGGGGAUAUGCUGGGAGAGGAGCAGCCGAUGGGAUGGAGCCCAAUGGCUUUGCUUGGUAGGGCUCAACGCGCCGCUCACACGCGAGCGUUGUCAAAGAAAGCAGCCAAUAUCAGCUGUUCCUAAUGCGAGAAGACAAUAGAUCAGAGGGGCCUGGGAAAGCAAGAGAAAACAAAGAGCAAGAGAAAAAUCCCCCCAGGGAGGGGAGAAUUGAGGCAGAUCCCAGCUCCUCUGAUCCCGCGCUUGGAGGAGCUGGCUGAGCUCCGCAGGAACGGGAUGGCGGCCAAUUGACACCAGCUGGGGCACGGGCCUGUGCCUGCCUUUUGUUCAUUAAUUUAUUUUUUAAUUAAUGGUUGUGGUGGUUUUUUUUUUGUUUUUUUUUCCCCCCCCACAAAAUAAGCUUAAUUCUGUUUCGAUCUCCUGCAGAGCUCGGGGUCGGCGCUGAUAUCCCCGAGCAAAUGGGUAUCGAUGCGCUUUGAUCAAUGGGGACAACCAAACGAUGAGCCCUGAGCUGCUCAAUGGGGGGGGGGUUCACCCACAGUUGGAUGCUUUUUGGGGAGGGUGUUUUCCCCUCCAACGUUUCAAUCUGUCCUCUCAGUGCGCGUUGCUGGAAGAGCCCUGGUAUGAACUGCUCAUGGGAAGGUCACGCAUUGCCAAACCAGUUUCGAGAACUUUGGUUUCCUUUCCAG